This 490-nucleotide ribosomal RNA is filed under the name uncultured bacterium. RNAcentral describes it as "partial 16S ribosomal RNA". It matches the Rfam family "Bacterial small subunit ribosomal RNA", at positions 30 to 507 of the family's 1533-position model. The record is from RNAcentral.
AUUGAACGCUGGCGGCAGGCCUAACACAUGCAAGUCGAACGGUAACAGGAAGAAGCUUGCUUCUUUGCUGACGAGUGGCGGACGGGUGAGUAAUGUCUGGGAAACUGCCUGAUGGAGGGGGAUAACUACUGGAAACGGUAGCUAAUACCGCAUAACGUCGCAAGACCAAAGAGGGGGACCUUCGGGCCUCUUGUCAUCGGAUGUGCCCAGAUGGGAUUAGCUAGUAGGUGGGGUAACGGCUCACCUAGGCGACGAUCCCUAGCUGGUCUGAGAGGAUGACCAGCCACACUGGAACUGAGACACGGUCCAGACUCCUACGGGAGGCAGCAGUGGGGAAUAUUGCACAAUGGGCGCAAGCCUGAUGCAGCCAUGCCGCGUGUAUGAAGAAGGCCUUCGGGUUGUAAAGUACUUUCAGCGGGGAGGAAGGGAGUAAAGUUAAUACCUUUGCUCAUUGACGUUACCCGCAGAAGAAGCACCGGCUAACUCCGUG